Long non-coding RNA from Leptopilina heterotoma, 2088 nucleotides. RefSeq lists it as uncharacterized. The record is from RefSeq and is a predicted model, not a curated record. The transcript is spliced from 4 exons. Lineage: Eukaryota; Metazoa; Arthropoda; Insecta; Hymenoptera; Figitidae.
CUAGAAAUUUAUAAAUUUCCUUUAUAAUAGUCCUAUAUACAAUGUAAAAAUAUUAUAAGAAGUAUAAUCUGGAUUAUAUCACAUAUAAUCCAUUUUUCUCCGUGUUAGAUUUAAAAUUAAACUUUUACAUUAAUUAAAUUUUUCAAAAAGAAAUAUCAGUUACAUGAUUUUUAAAUAUACCAGAGAUAGCUUCCUCCUCAAAAAGGCUUUCUUCCAAUUUAGUAAACUUUUCCAGUCAGCGACGGAUGCAAGUGCGAACACUGAAAUUUGGACUUUGUCGAUCUUGGGAGGAAAUGAGACCAACUUUUCUUGCACACCGACUUCGUAUUAUAAGACUUCGUAUUAGCUUUGGAACAUUUUAGACCAUUUGAGAAGAUGCUUUUAGGAUGAGGAAAAUGGAAUUAUUCUUCGAAUUCUCUUAAUGACAUGUGCUGUACAUACAAUGAAAAUGUUAUUCACGUAUUUUCUGCGGCGAGUCAGUGGCUGAACACGUACGACAAAUUGAAAUUAAAGGACAUGCAUUGCACGUCUAAUGCAAAACUCAAUGGACGCGACGAUUUCUGUUGAAUUUAGAGGAUUUUGCGGCAAUUCCACGCGUAGAAUUCUGUCUUAAUGGGCUUUUAAUGGGCUGCAGAUGUAGAGAGCAAUCGUUAGUAUUUGAUAAGGAAGGAAGUGGAGUGUACUGAUAUAAUUCCUAUCCAUUACCGUAACAAGAAGCAGAUUAAAAUUCAUUAUUCCCGUUCUACACUGAAGGGCAGAGUCCCACGACAGCGUGGCAAGACAAAAAUAAAUGGUAAAUAAAUGUUCAGACUGAUCAAACACAUUUAACAAAAUUAGUAACAGAUUAAUAUAUAACACUGAAGGGCAGAAUCUCACGACAGUAUUAUAAGUAAACUGUAAUAAAUAAAUGAAUAACCAAUACUAAAGGGCAGAAACUCACAACAGUGUAGCAAAUAAAAAGAAAUAAAACAAUUAAAUAUAAUAAUACGAACAAGUAGAUGAUGAAGAGAAAAGGACACUUAAUACUUAUUUCAAAGAUAAGAACAUCCGCAAAGGUUGAAGGGUAGUCCCAAACUGAGAGUCCUACUCGUCAGGUCAGUGACCCGUUAGAAAAAUAGAGUGGGGCAGCUACCCCCUAUUGUGAAUCCAAAGUAAUUGAAAAAUAAGGUUGACUUCAAUAACCGAACCUUACACUUUUUUGAGAAUUAAAUACUUCCCGAGUUCUUAAAAUAAUUAUUGGAAUAUUGUGACUGUAGAUAAUUUGGUGUUCUGUUUUACCGGCAGCGGAUAACUGCAAUCUGUAAUUUAAUGAUUCACUUGGGACUCACUAGAUAAGAGAAGGCGCUGAUGACGCCUGGUUAACAGUUUUGUCAUUUAAUAAAAUCUCGUUUUGAUUGAACUUCCAGGCAACAAAUUAUAAAAAAGUUCGCGGUUUUUUCAAAAAUGAAUUAAUGGAAAUAGCAUUUUUGAAAUGCAUUUUUGCAUAAAAAAUAACAAGGCUAAAGGCCUGUCUGCUUAAUUGAAUUUUAUUAAAUUCCUUCCUGCGCUUAUGUAAAUUCGUAGAAUAAAUAAAUACACAAUGUGUAUAAAUCGCGUGCUACGUUAUGAAACAUAUGUUUAGAGGAGCUGAUAUCAAGUUUAUAUCAACGACCUUAUUACAAACUACACCCUUUUCCUUAGUCAUUAUAUGUUUUCCUGAAAUACGAAGCUAACUCCAGGAAGCACCAUAAAAGAUAAAAUCAAUUGACCUCUUCUUUUUCAGUAUAUCAUGUUUAGUCUUAAUAUUGACGUUACCAAAUAUGGUCAUCUGUGUUUUCCACUGGGUCCUACUUGCUAGGACUUAAAAAUUUAAUCAAUAAAUGCGUCUUGACCCAAAAAGUAAUAAAAUUAGAUGGUGUGAGGUAUAGUAUAAAAGGAGGCACCCUUGCCGAAUUAGUCAGUCCAGUAGUCACCUUCAAAUCAGAAUUCUACGACUCCAGUUCCAAAAAUCUCUUCAAGUACCAAGUGCAUUCUUCAAGUCUCAAUCAAGUUCAUUCAAGGAGAAUUCAUUCCAGGAGAUAAUUUCUAAUGCGAGGCACAUUUCUAUUU